AACAACAACAACAACGCC
This 18-nucleotide small nuclear RNA is filed under the name Arabidopsis thaliana (thale cress). RNAcentral's name for it is "snRNA_01516". Lineage: Eukaryota; Viridiplantae; Streptophyta; Magnoliopsida; Brassicales; Brassicaceae. The record is from RNAcentral.